CUUUGUUUAGCCUAAAAUAUGCAAUGUACUGCACAGUUAAACGGUGAAAAAACUUUCAUAUAGCGUGAGUAUUUGGUGAAAGUAGUACAAACACAUGUUUUAUCGUAAACAUAUAUAUACAAAAAGUUGUUAUUUUAUUUUAGGAGUGAUCAAAAUAACCUCUAUAAUAGAAGAAAAGCUGAAGAUUUCAAAAUUUUCUGAAGGGAGCCACAGACAGAGAUGUAAACUCAGGCAGAUUUUCCAUGCUGAUAUCCGUGCAGCAGAGUCGAAGCAGACCUGUCAGAAAACAUCUCUAAGGUGCUAUGAAUCUCAUAACUAGAUACACAUCAUAAGAUAACUAGAGCUUACGGCUCUGUUUGGAUCCAGCCUCACUUGUGAAGACUUCAGAUGACGUAAACACUCACAAAGACAUUAUAUGAUGGCAUCUACAGAUGGACAUACACAACUGCCAAAUGUAACAUAUUGUAAUUACUGCACCAAAGCGCAACCCUACAGAUUUUCAACCCACUUAAUAUUGUUACAAACACAAUAUAUGUUUAUAUUUGAAAAAAAUAUUUUUUAGCUAAUUUUACUGAUUUAUUUCCAUUUAUUUGUCCACAAUACUCUGCCAAAUGAUGUUUUGCAUCAUCCAAAUAUUGUUAAUGUACAUAUUACAGACAUUGUAACAACACAAAGUGGGUUGAAAAAGUUUCUUCUCCUAAGUGCAGUAACUACGCAAACACUAAAACCGAGAAAAAAGUUCUUAAAGUGUUUUACACCAGCCAGUCAAACUUGUUACUGCAAUUUUUGGCAAACACAUUUCUCUGAUGGGACAAAAUUAAACCAGGAGACUUUGUCACAAGACAACAGAUCUCAAAAAGCCCAUUUCAACCUUUACCUCAAUUUUGACCAAAUAUAUAGUUACUGUGCUUUGGCUUUGUUGGGCAGUAUAGUAGUAUUAUAGUAAUGCUGGAGUGAAAGCAUGGUAACCAUAUAUUUUUAAAUCAUGGUAAAGUUUGUGGUUACUAAAAUGUAGUACUAUAAACCUAUGCUGUUGUAAGAGAAUGUUUAUUCUUUAUUAUUGUUGUGAAACCAUGGUUGAUUUUAUAUUUACCAUGUGUUACUGCAAAUGAUGGUAAAAUCAUGGAUAACUUUGCAUGGGUACAGAAAGGUGUAAACUGGUUGUUUUUAUUUGGAAGUCAUGUUGGUUUUAAUGCAUGUGAUAAAUGUAUAUGCAUUUGAAUAUUUAUUCUGUUUACUGACAAUAAUAAAUUUGCAGUUGCUGAUGUAAA
Misgurnus anguillicaudatus (oriental weatherfish) is the source of this 1271-nucleotide non-coding RNA. Lineage: Eukaryota; Metazoa; Chordata; Actinopteri; Cypriniformes; Cobitidae. The record is from RefSeq and is a predicted model, not a curated record.